UUCUGCAUCGAUCUACAUACGUUCCUCUUCUCGACAGCUUCCUCACACGAGGCAGACUGACCACUCCUCAGUAAAACGAACAUAACUUCUGCUACAAGAUGUUGAUUGACCUAAAACCGGUGGAAUUGGAAAGCUAACUCAAAGUUCUAUCUUGUGUCAAAAUAUGGGCUCAAUCUAACAAUGGGAAAGUCUCCAUCCAUAGCUAGACAUCUGACGCGCCUGUGCAGUUCUGCACCUCAAAAGGCUCCAAAAUUACCAUAUUUCUCCGGAACGUACCUGAACCUGUAAAUACUCUAAAUAGACUCUAUAUGGUUGUAAAUAUAUAUUAAAUUACUUAUAGACCAUGGCUAAAAGUGGGUAAAAUCCAUGGUCUAUCAACCAUCGGUCGAUAUUGGAGAGGAAUAAUCGAUCGAUGUUCAUAUCUUGACCUCGAUCGACAGCGAAACGCUCAGAAAGCCCGUUUGGUCACAGCCGACAUGAAGCCCAAGUCUUCCCCAAUUUACAAGAUUACCCCUGACGAGUUUUUAACCUAAUUAUAUAAACUUUGCCACCAUGUUAGAGGCAAAGUGUGCUUUUCUUGUUUUAUUAUUUUCACAACAAGGUUUUCAAAGCGUGCUUAAUCAUAUACCUAUUAGAUCUAAUUGGUUCCCUAGCUCCUUGUGAAUUCAAUCCUUAAGUACUACAACUCGACCUCUUAUUUGAGAGAGUAUAAAUCACUCCUUAGGGUAAUUUGAGUGGUAUCACUCAGCCAGCUCGAAUCUGAGAAUCUUACUCUCCGAGACGAGAACCAAGCCCUCAA
RNAcentral lists this long non-coding RNA (799 nucleotides) under Brassica napus (rape). RNAcentral's name for it is "long non-coding RNA (BNAP_LNC014009)". The record is from RNAcentral. Lineage: Eukaryota; Viridiplantae; Streptophyta; Magnoliopsida; Brassicales; Brassicaceae.